RNAcentral lists this ribosomal RNA (319 nucleotides) under uncultured Treponema sp. Its description in RNAcentral is "partial 16S ribosomal RNA". Lineage: Bacteria; Pseudomonadati; Spirochaetota; Spirochaetia; Treponematales; Treponemataceae. The record is from RNAcentral.
GGAGUCUGGGCCGUAUCUCAGUCCCAAUGUGCCCGAUCACCCUCUUAGGCCGGGUAACUAUCGUCGCCUUGGUGGGCCGUUACCUCACCAACUAGCUAAUAGUACGCGGGCCGCUCUCUGUGCGAAUCAAAAGAUCCUUUCCUGUAUGUCCUCUGACAACAUACAGCGUAUCCGGUAUUAUCUCCUAUUUCUAGGAGCUGUCCCCGUCACAAAGGUACGUCACCCACGCGUUACUCACCAGUCCGCCGCUCUAGGUCAGGAGCAAGCUCCCGACUUACCGCUCGACUUGCAUGCUUAAGACGCGCCGCCAGCGUUCGUU